RNAcentral lists this ribosomal RNA (570 nucleotides) under Priestia flexa. Its description in RNAcentral is "bacterial SSU rRNA". It matches the Rfam family "Bacterial small subunit ribosomal RNA", at positions 94 to 650 of the family's 1533-position model. The record is from RNAcentral. Lineage: Bacteria; Bacillati; Bacillota; Bacilli; Caryophanales; Bacillaceae.
AGCGGCGGACGGGUGAGUAACACGUGGGCAACCUGCCUGUAAGACUGGGAUAACUCCGGGAAACCGGAGCUAAUACCGGAUAACAUUUUCUCUUGCAUAAGAGAAAAUUGAAAGAUGGUUUCGGCUAUCACUUACAGAUGGGCCCGCGGUGCAUUAGCUAGUUGGUGAGGUAACGGCUCACCAAGGCAACGAUGCAUAGCCGACCUGAGAGGGUGAUCGGCCACACUGGGACUGAGACACGGCCCAGACUCCUACGGGAGGCAGCAGUAGGGAAUCUUCCGCAAUGGACGAAAGUCUGACGGAGCAACGCCGCGUGAGUGAUGAAGGCUUUCGGGUCGUAAAACUCUGUUGUUAGGGAAGAACAAGUACAAGAGUAACUGCUUGUACCUUGACGGUACCUAACCAGAAAGCCACGGCUAACUACGUGCCAGCAGCCGCGGUAAUACGUAGGUGGCAAGCGUUAUCCGGAAUUAUUGGGCGUAAAGCGCGCGCAGGCGGUUUCUUAAGUCUGAUGUGAAAGCCCACGGCUCAACCGUGGAGGGUCAUUGGAAACUGGGGAACUUGAGUGCA